CGUGGUGUAUGAGCUAACUUGCGAGUCUGUCGAGCCCCCGUUGAAGAGCUGCUGAUCGGAGUGGAGAAGCCCCUCCUUGUUCACCAAAUUAUUGUAGUAGAAGUUGUCGAAGAUCGUCGGGGUCGAAGUGUCGAGUGGUGCGAGGUUGUUGUCACCACCAGAGAACGGGCAAUUGGCUUGUAAUGCUGUCGCGAAGGACGAGUCUAUGUUGGUCUCGUUGUAGAUCCGAGUUCGGAAGUUGGUGCACCGCGCAUCACCUAUUGUGUGGGCUCCUGCAGGGUCAAAAGGUGCAAUGUAAACAUUAAAUUAUGAAAUUUUCGUACUCCGAUAACUGAUGGUGCAUGAACAGGCAUACGAAAUAAUUGAAUAUUUUCAAACUGUAAUUAGCCAUAUGAACACUACUAUUUUUUUUGAUGAUUUUUUUUUGCAAUAAAUGCUAGAAUAUUCUGUUUAGUUUUUGACAAAAACUACUGAAAAAGUCCAAACUAAAUUUGGUAAAAUUUUUAUAAAUUAAAUAAUAUGUUUGUCGAGGAUUUUGUGUCAAAAAACUAAAAUUUGUGAAACCUUUUUGUUCUUGACCUAUAAAAAAUUAGGUUGAAAAUUACAACUAUCGGUACCUGAGAGAGCAACCAUAUCGCUAGUACUCAGGCCCUUCUUCGCAAAGGCUGAGAUAAGAUCGUUGAGGUUGGAGAAUGGAGACGGCAAGUCGGAGUUAGCGGUGCUUAAACUCGCCGUCGUCGAAUCCCUCCUUCCUAGCAAUACCGUCCACGCCGGACCGCCCAGCUGAGAAAAAAAUCAAAACCAACGGUUCGCAUGACAAAGUACGAGACAGAAAGGGAGAGAUAGAGAUAUGUAAAGAUAUAAAGAGCUGCAUAUGUAUAUAUUGUAGUACCGCAACAACUGAAUCGCGAGCGACGACGGCGAGGAUGUCCGCGCACGACACCGUUUGCGGGCACACGAUCUCAAGUUGAGCUUUGAUUCUAUCAACCACAUCGAAUCCUCGCAAGGAUCCCCUGUUCGGAAUGGCCGACUUCUCUCCGGUGAAGGUCGGAGUGUCAUCUAAAAGAACAGAUCCGUCGCAUCCCUGCCGCGAGAUUCAUGCGAUAAAAAUUAAUGACAUGUACCGUAUAUAAUUAAUCAAACUAUAUGCAUUAGAGAAACUUAUUAAUAUUCUGAACUAACAACAAUAUUAGGAUACUUAAAUAAGUAAUUAGUUAAGUUGACGGUGAUUAAUAGUUAUUUCAUUGGCAAGUAAAUUUGCUUCAUUUUGGUUUAUAAUUUUGAUGCAGUAGCGGUGGAUGAAAGGUCUCAAUCGAUCUUUUCAUUAGGGGCGCAUUUGGUUCGCCCUAUAAAAGAUUAUUAAGAAUAAAAAGAUGUUCGAGAAUUUUAUUUCUAUUCAUUCUAUUACUAAGAAUGUUAGAGUAUAUCCCCGUUUAAUCAAAAAAAAGAAUGUGACAUUUUUAUGUUUGUUUCAUAUAGUCAUAUUAUUUAGUCAUAUUAUUUAAAAUUACAAAAAAUAACUAAUUAAUUAAUUUAAUUAAUUUUAGAUAAUACUAUAAAAAAUUUCAAUAUCUUUUUAGAAAAAAGAAAGAGAGAAUAUAAGUUAGAGAGAGAGCAUAAUUAAAGAAGUAGAAAGAAAAAUAGAAUCGAGAUUAGAGAGAAUGAGAGAAUUGAGAUUUAGGAAAAGAAUAGGAGAAAGAGCUUUGUUUAGAGAGAGAAAAAGAUAAGUUUAGAAAAAGAUAUGAGAUUAGAGUGUAAAGAAAAAUAAUACCAACUAGUCAGCGAGUAGGGAAAAGAAAAAAAAUAGACAUAUUAUAAUUAGCCCAAUCCAUUAAUUUGAGAAUAUCCAUCAUCCUUUAAAGAAAUGAGAUUAGUACUUUGGGAUGAGUCUCAUUUCCAAUUAAAUUUAAUAUUAUCAACUAAACUACUUAGUAUGUUUAGUCAAAUACGUCAUAUUUUUUUUUUUUUUUAUUGAAUUAUUAAGAAUUUUAAAAAAAUAGCGCGAAUCAAACGCGCCCUAAAAGCUAUCUCUAUUAUUGUACUUUAUAAUCAGCCAAAAACCAUGUGGAGCACACAGAGUCAGGAUGAUACGAUGUGAGGAACUGGAAAUAUAAAAUUUUGGAAAACUUGGUCUAUCUCGUAAUAAUAUAUUAAUACUAACUUUACAAGACUACUUUUAUAAAUUGGCUGUUUGGCCCAGCUUGACUUUUCACAAACUUAUUGUUUUCCCGUUUGAGUAGAUGAAAAUUGUAGUUCGAAACUAUGUUUUUGCUUUUUAGGAUUCAAAAAUUCGAUUCAGCACACCACCAAAACUAAAAAGUUGGAUUUUUAAUUUGUUGGCGUGUAUUUGACUCUCAUUUGCAAGACAAAAGAAACGAUUUUGAAAGCCAAGACAAAUAGUCGCAAACUUCAUAUGUAUAUAUAUGCGAAUGAUCGAAGGGAAGGGAGUGGAGCAAGAACUUGCUUGAACAAAGCAGUCGUGGAAGUGGAGUCGGAGCAGCGACGCCCCAAUGCGACUGUCUGUAGCCAAUGCACGUAUGACCUCCGUCCAGAUGGUAGGCAGAGCUGAGGGGCAUGAAAAGCGGUAGAAAGUCGACGACAGUUGAGCUGAAGCUACUGAAGUUAAAAUGAAGAAGAAGCAGCAGCAGCAGCAGCUUAAAGCAGAAGCACGAGGAGCCAUUGCUAGAAAAGGACCGUGCUAGGAUUCCUAGGUGGCUAGAUCAACUAUAUAGAGGAUAAGUGCUCAAUACACGUGUAUUUAUAGCCAUUAUUUGCCCCAUUAAUUGUCAAACUUCUACAAGAUUUAUCCUACAUUAUUAAGACCACUUAACUGGAUUUUUCUGUUUUUUAUUUUUGUUUUUGUUUUUUUUAAAUAUCACUUGUAUAGCUGGAUGAAUAUUAGUGCAUUUAUAAUGAUCAAUAUAUCCACACAACCCACAACCAACUAGUGUGGGUCGCAAUCGAUCGAAUCGCAUAGCCACUUAAUUUUUUUGCGAAUAGGUAGUACGCUACCUGCUUCAUUCAUUGAACAUAUGAAUUAGACUACAGAGUUGAAGCAACCAGGGCCUCUACAAAAAAAAAAAAAAAAAAAAAAUCAAAAGACGUCUUUUCAAGAGUCAGUCAGCCGUUUGAGCCUUCGCACCGCUAAUACGGGAUCAAAUUGAACGCCACGAAAGAUAAGGUUGUUUCUGGUAUAGCCACUUAAUUAAAUGCAUGAAAAGUGAUCAAACAAAGUGGUCUUGGUACAUGGCGUACACGUCGAUCGAUCCAAUAUAUGUUUCUCCAAAGAAAAGAAAAGAAAACAAAAUUCAUUUUGAGCUCAAAUAAUAGAGUUGUUGCUUAUAUUUAAAUAUCUUUUUUUUUUUACGUCUUAUGAAUAAAAUUUUUCUUUCAUUAACGAAAAAUAUAUCAUACACUAGGAAAAAAAAAAUUAUUAUAUAUAAGAACAAUUAUUUUACGACACCAGAAGAAAGUGUCUUCAAAUAUCCUCACUACAUAGCAAACAUUGACGUUUUAAAAGUAUCGAUAUAUAAAUCAUCAAAAUUAUUCGGAUUUGAAAAAAUCUUGAUAUUUUAAAACGUCGGAAUAUAUCACUUUGACACAUGAUAAAUUGGUAUAUAUAUCACGAUUCACGACUCUUCAUUUAUCAAUAUUUUUACCGCCUCUUUAUAAUAUAUUAACAGUAGCUAGACUAACUUGAGAUCGAUAUUUUUAAGUAUCAUUAAUUACAGGAAAAAAAAUUUUGUUAACUAUUAUUUUCCUUGCAUGGUCCACGUGCUCGACCCAUUGUAGCCACGCACCCAUUUUGAAAGAGCAUUUUAUAUUGAUGAAAAAUUUUAAAAUCCUCUAAUCAUUAUUAUUAUAUAUUUUACUUAAUUAUUUAAUUUAUUAUUUAUUAUUAUAAUAUUUUAAUUUAUUAUUUUUUGUUAUUAUUUUAAUUAUGUAUUUAUUUAAUAUCCGUUAAUUGCACGUGGGCGAAGAUCACGCCUCGUGCGCGCCCGUUCCACACCAACGUGCGCGCCCGUUCCACACGAACGUGCGCCGUUUGCGCACUACUCCGGACAUUCCUCACAGAACGUGGGAGCAAUGUUAAAUGUAUAUGGGGUGAACAACUGGAUUUCAACUUUUCAAUGGCCGACUCCUUUGUCACCGCCAGCGAAUUACUCAACUGGUGCAUCAAAUGGAAUAUGGAAUGCGUGAGCAUAAAGGUAGAUUUCGAAAAAGCCUUUGAUAACGUCAAUUGGGCAUUCCUAAAAAAUAUAAUGCACUGGCUUGGAUUCAGCGACAAAUGGUGGGGCUGGAUUGAACAAUGUAUCAACAACGCCAAAAUAGCAAUACUCGUGAAUGAUAUUCCGACAAAGUGGCUCAAGACAAGGAAGGGACUUAGACAGGGUGACCCUCUAUCUCUUUACCUCUUCAUACUUGUGGCCGACUGCCUGGCCAGGAUAACUCAAGCCGCCGCGGAUAAUAACAUGUUACACGGAAUCGGCCCUAACGAAGACUGCAAAACGACGUUCCUUCAAUACGCAGAUGACACAAUCUUUUUUUGCCAUCCGCGGAAACGAUACAUGCGAAACCUCAUUUUCGUUUGGAAAAUCUUCGAGUGGGCUUCCGGUUUACGAAUCAAUAAGAGCAAAACGGAGUUAUUUUACCUUGGCGCCAACCCAACCAAGAGCGACAGACUAGCUGAUAUCCUGCAUUGCCAGGUAGGCAAACUACCUUUUCGAUAUUUGGGACUGCCUCUCCACAAUAAGCCCCUUCGUAAGGAAGACUGGUCAAUCGUCAUCAAUCGCAUAGGAUCGCGGAUCGAAGGAUGGAAAGCUAAAAUACUAUCUCAAGGAGGAAGGCUUAUUCUUAUUAACUCUGUACUAACCAACCUACCGCUUUUCUACCUUUCUAUUUUCAAGGCUCCACGGUGGGUGCUACUUAGAAUCGAAGCCUUACGAAGAGCCUUCUUCUGGAAAGGCUGCUCCAAAAUUGCUGGGGGAGCCUGCCUCGUCAAUUGGAAAACCAUUUGUAAGAGCAAGGCUCAAGGAGGACUGGGAAUAAAAGACGUGGAUUCAAUGAAUUUAGCUCUCUUUUCUAAAUGGUGGUGGCGUUUUCUGACUGAGCCACACCUGCCUUGGUGUAACCUCAUUAAACAUCUUUACUACUCGAGAAGAAGACCACUGCACGAGGGAAAUGCCUUUGUACCCUUCUCGCAGUGGUGGAGAUCUAGGAACGAUCCGGUGUCGAGAAGCGUUUAAAUAUGGCAUUUCAUAUGGCAUGGGCGAUGGAAGCAUCAUCAGGCUAUGGAAGGACAUCUGGAUCGGGGAAACACCGCUAAGCACAGAAUUCCCAGAUAUUUUCUUGGCUAUCAAGAACAAGAAUGUUCGGAUUUCCCAAUGCUGGAAUCAACUCGGCUGGAGAUGGCGUUUCAUCUGCAGAGGAUUCUUAGCCUCAGCCUCCUCGGGAAAUAGAAGACGGUUAGCACUCCUAAAGGAACGUCUACUUCAAUUCUCCCUAAGCACAAGACAGAACGUCUACUUCAAUUCUCCCUAAGCACAAGACCGGACUCACUUAAAUGGAGAUGGACCUCUCACGGCAAAUUCACUGUUAACUCCUUGUACAAAUUUAUCACUUUCGCCGGACAAAGUGAGCCGCUCAAUCAACACCUGUGGAAACUUAAGAUCCCGGUUAAAAUCAAAACCUUCGUCUGGUUGCUCCUACGCAAGAGGCUGCUUACAGCUGACAGAUUGAUUAGGCGAGGAGCCCAAUUGGACCCUUCCUGCGUCUUUUGUGCUGUUUCCCUGGAAUGUGCCGACCACCUCUUCUGCAACUGUGUCUUCGCCCGUUUUCUUCUUCGACGACUGGCGGGGGCACACAACUUGGCUCCGGGUGGGGACGUACGAGGACUUUGGAAUCUAAUUUCACAGACCCCCGACGCCUCUUUAAGAUCUAAAUGUCUAACCAAGCUAGCGGCCACUUGGUAGGUUCUCUGGACUGAGCGAAACAACUUUGUCUUUCGUUCAAGCCUCUCCAACGUCGAGAGAGCUUCGGACAGAGUUUCAACCCUGCUUAGUGACUGGAGCUUACUCAUGUAACCCAUUCCCUCUUCCCCACUUUCUUUUUUUAUUACUUCUUCCUUCUUUCUUUCGCCACUUUUGUUUUGUUUCUCUGUUUUCCGGGUUCGGUUUUUUGCCAAGGAAGCCUAAGCUGCUUCCACCUUGUAAGCUUAGUUCACUUAUCCUAUUGAAUGAAGCAGGUAGUGUGCUACCUUUCUCUCAAAAAAAAAAUAANNNNNNNNNNNNNNNNNNNNNNNNNNNNNNNNNNNNNNNNNNNNNNNNNNNNNNNNNNNNNNNNNNNNNNNNNNNNNNNNNNNNNNNNNNNNNNNNNNNNNNNNNNNNNNNNNNNNNNNNNNNNNNNNNNNNNNNNNNNNNNNNNNNNNNNNNNNNNNNNNNNNNNNNNNNNNNNNNNNNNNNNNNNNNNNNNNNNNNNNNNNNNNNNNNNNNNNNNNNNNNNNNNNNNNNNNNNNNNNNNNNNNNNNNNNNNNNNNNNNNNNNNNNNNNNNNNNNNNNNNNNNNNNNNNNNNNNNNNNNNNNNNNNNNNNNNNNNNNNNNNNNNNNNNNNNNNNNNNNNNNNNNNNNNNNNNNNNNNNNGGCAGUGUUCGUACACUUCCGGAUCAAAUCGUUUGACUUUUUUCUUCUAUAAUCUAUUUUGAAUUUUAGCGCUCUCCUGUAAGUUCAUUUAUUAAUUUUUAUCACAAAAUUUAGUUAGAUAAUUAAUCAAUCAGAUUUUCAAUGCGGUUUUUCUAGCUAACAAUCUAAGGCAUAUGUCCAAUUUGAUUAUAAUUAAAAUCUAACGAAUGCUAAUCCGAAAAAAAAAAUUUGUGCAUAUUGUAUUUGAUAACUUGUUUGUAUAUAUAAUUGACAUGUAAGUAUUAAUUCACUACAUAUAAAUAGUCUUUUGCAUAAUAAGUUAUGACUUAUGAGUAUUAAUUAAGAGCCAUAUUUAUUCGACUAUUAAUAAAUUGGCGCCCAGCUAGGAUUUAUGAUUUUAAGUAUUAAAUAAGUCUAAAAAUCCAGAGUAUAAAAAAGAUCAUUGCAUGAUCAAUUAAAAAUUAAUGUAAACAAUUUAUAAUUUUUUUUUAAUGUUAGAAACACGUUUGAUAUGUUAGUAUCUGAUUCUCGGGCCCAACAUAAUAAGACUUCAUGAGUGUGAUGUAUAUAUAAGAUAUUGCGUGCCCCCACAAUAAUUUUUCUAGCUCCUCCCGUUCACAUGGGAAAAAUUAUUAUAUUCAAAAUUGAUCUUUUAUUCAUGUUAACUAAAUAUAUCCAUUAGUAUAUAGGCGAUGAUAUAAGUGAUUAGAAUCAUGAGCCUACGACAUUAAUUCAACAGUUAAAAAUGGUCAAUUUUGAGUUAAUUUGAUAGGAGACUAAUUAGAUUGAUGUAGAUAUUUGUAAUGUAGAUUGACUAUUUAAGCAGCAUAUAGCAAUAAAAAUAUUAUUUACUUUACCUCUCAACCUUUACUUUAUGCCAUAAAUAGAAAAAGAAUAUGAAUGGGAAAAAGGAAAACUAGCAUAUAUUCACUGUUUAGGCAAAAGGAGUAAAUAAUUGGGAUACCAUUUGGUUCGUUGAUUAAAAACAUGCAUGGGCAAUUUUGAAGUCUAAAAAAAACAAGAAUGGUACAAAUAAAAAGCUGUUCUAAUAGCUAAAUACAUCAUCAUUUUUUCCUUUCAUUUUAUUGCUGGAUUGAUUGAUUUGAAUACAUUUGUUUUGAUUCUAGUAUAAUAAAGCGACAUCAUAUACGAAUCUUGUGAAAACAAGCCAAAACAAACUACAUGUUUAAACAAUGGGAAAAGAAAAUUUUGUAACACUUAGAUUAACCACGCAAACCGAUAGUUUAUCGUAUCUUUAAUUAAUUGAUCUUCCUACAGUUGGUUCUGAUCUCUCCACUGCUUCCUGUUAAGGGACUGAUGUUCCCCAUCUUCACAAUCGCUGUCGCAAAAUCGCGAAAGAAUUGCGCAGAAUUCGUGGUGUAUGAGCUAACUUGCGAGUCUGUCGAGCCCCCGUUGAAGAGCUGCUGAUCGGAGUGGAGAAGCCCCUCCUUGUUCACCAAAUUAUUGUAGUAGAAGUUGUCGAAGAUCGUCGGGGUCGAAGUGUCGAGUGGUGCGAGGUUGUUGUCACCACCGGAGAACGGGCAAUUGGCUUGUAAUGCUGUCGCGAAGGACGAGUCUAUGUUGGUCUCGUUGUAGAUCCGAGUUCGGAAGUUGGUGCACCGCGCAUCACCUAUUGUGUGGGCUCCUGCAGGGUCAAAAGGUGCAAUGUAAACAUUAAAUUAUGAAAUUUCCGUACUCCGAUAACUGAUGGUGCAUGAACACGCAUACGAAAUAAUUGAAUAUUUUCCUACUGUAAUUAAUCAUAUGAAAACUAUUUUUUUUGAUGAUUUUUUUUUGCAAUAGACGCUAGAAUAGUCUGUUUAGUUUUUGAAAAAACUACUUAAAAAGUCCAAACUAAAUUUGGUAAAAUUUUUGUAAAUCAAAUAAUUUGUUUGUCGAGUGUUCGUGUCAAAAAAACUAAAAUUUGUGAAACCUUUUUCUCUUGACCUAUAAAAAUUUAGGUUGAAAAUUUCAACUAUC
RNAcentral lists this long non-coding RNA (8618 nucleotides) under Ananas comosus (pineapple). RNAcentral's name for it is "long non-coding RNA (ACOM_LNC027460)". Lineage: Eukaryota; Viridiplantae; Streptophyta; Magnoliopsida; Poales; Bromeliaceae. The record is from RNAcentral.